RNAcentral lists this ribosomal RNA (414 nucleotides) under uncultured soil bacterium. RNAcentral describes it as "bacterial SSU rRNA". It matches the Rfam family "Bacterial small subunit ribosomal RNA", at positions 61 to 519 of the family's 1533-position model. The record is from RNAcentral.
GUCGAGCGGGCACCUUCGGGUGUCAGCGGCAGACGGGUGAGUAACACGUGGGAACGUACCCUUCGGUUCGGAAUAACGCUGGGAAACUAGCGCUAAUACCGGAUACGCCCUUAUGGGGAAAGGUUUACUGCCGAAGGAUCGGCCCGCGUCUGAUUAGCUAGUUGGUGGGGUAACGGCCUACCAAGGCGACGAUCAGUAGCUGGUCUGAGAGGAUGAUCAGCCACACUGGGACUGAGACACGGCCCAGACUCCUACGGGAGGCAGCAGUGGGGAAUAUUGGACAAUGGGCGCAAGCCUGAUCCAGCCAUGCCGCGUGAGUGAUGAAGGCCUUAGGGUUGUAAAGCUCUUUUGUCCGGGACGAUAAUGACGGUACCGGAAGAAUAAGCCCCGGCUAACUUCGUGCCAGCAGCCGCG